Long non-coding RNA from Drosophila sechellia, 6376 nucleotides. RefSeq lists it as uncharacterized. NCBI's taxonomy places the organism in Eukaryota, Metazoa, Arthropoda, Insecta, Diptera, Drosophilidae. The record is from RefSeq and is a predicted model, not a curated record. The transcript has 2 exons.
CAGAGUCGAGAGUAUUUGCCACGUCCUUGUUGCCUUUUUUUCUUGCACUAUUUAUGAAUUCUUGUUAUGCGGUUAACGUUUUGCGUUAUUCAGUGAUUCAUAUCCGGGGACUCGUAAAAUCAUAAAAAAUGUGAUAAUAAAAUAUUUGUCAACAUGUAUCACGACACCAGCAAGAGACACACCCAAACCCACACACAUGAAGCUAAAAUUUGCAAUCAAAGUGGCCGACUACUCGGAUUGUGUGUGUAAUUCAAUCCUGAUCAGUCGCCGUCCCAAGGAGUUCCGACGGGGAGGAAAUUUGGGGAGGAUUGGGCAGCGGUAAAAUGUCGCUUACAGCGAAUGUCACACAUCAUGGGUCUCCCAGGGAUGCUUUCAUCAUCAUUUCCAUUGGGCAUUUCGUAUUUCGCGUACCAUCUCCAUCUCCAUUUCCAUUUCCAUCCGCAUCCGCAUUCCCAUUUCCAUUUCAUCAUCAUCAUCAUCAUUGUGCUGACCUUUCACAAAGAAGAAGCAGCAGGCGGCGGCAUAUGCAAAUGUGAUAAUCCGAUGCCGGGACUGCCUCACACAGAUACACACACACACAUGUACACAGAGGGAACACACACACUGGAACAGUGGCCAGACACCGCAAGUAAAGAGAUAAAAACGCGUGACAAAUAAAAUGCCACAGAAAACUGGGAACUGGAAGUUGGGAAUUAUGGACCAAGUUGCAUUCAAGUCCUCUCCGUCUUCCGCCCCAGCAUAUUAAAAUAGAAAUGGGCAGAAAAAAUUUCAAAUAAUUUUAUUGUUGUAGUCUAUGACGUUUGCACAUCUCCAUCCGCAUCACAACUUUUUUUGCCACAGUCGCUGCCAUAAAAUUGCGUACGUGAUGGUACCAAUUUGCAAAGACUUCUUUAUUUAUUGCACCAGCAGGCUUUAAGCUACUUGAAGCUCGGUGGAUUUUGAUUUCUCUCCUUUUCCUCGAUUGAAAAUCAAAGUUCGGCGAGAAAUUUUCUCUAAAAAGUUUGGCCUAUUGAUAAAACAAUCUGAAUAAAAUUUUAUGUGAAAGUAAAUGGAAGAAAACGAGUUGUUUGCCUGUUUGGGCCAAAAUCUCUGCUAGAUUCUUCGUUUGAUGGUGUUUCCUGUUUCAUUUCUACAUUUACGUGUACUUUUAAAUUUAGGCAAAGAUUAUACAUAUGUUUUAAUCGUUUUCGUUACAUUGAAGAGAAUAGUUUAUCCAGAAUUUAUAUUUUACAUAUUCUAAUACACUGAGCUUCAUAGACUUUUUUCCUUAAAAUGUUUUUGGCAUUUAAAGUGGAUUUAUAUAAUAUGAUGCACGUAGCGAAAACGUAAUCAUACCUGUAACUGCCUGAAACUUCUUUAAUACUCAAAUAUUUGCACAAUGCAUAAAGUUUUGCACCCUUUUCUCGGCGGUCUUCCCGACGGAAAAACUUUUAAUGAUGAGUUUCCACCUGAUAUACAAAAUACCUUUAAGCUGCUUUAAGUUUUUAAUUUUACUAUGUUGUUACGUAGGACUUAAGAACACUUGCUAAAGACCUUCUGCAAUUUGUUAAUGGUUAAAAGGUGUUCAGGGCAGAGAUUUUCAUUUUAUUUCGAUUUAAUCAUGUAUCAUUCUACCAUUUAUAUAAGGUAUAUUUCGUAGCCUUAUGUUAUGUGAUGGUAAACCAGCAGUGUAUUUGCUUUUUUUUUGCAUCAACUUUGAUGACCUCCUCUUAACAAUCCACCCACAGACGCAUCCCCAUUACGUAUACGCAGUGGUGGCGGAGGCCGAUGUGUUGCCGUUGCCUGUUGAGUCCUGCCCUCCAUUGUCACGCGACGAAUUAUUUGGGAGCGCGGAAAAGAAUAAUCAUUUUAUUUUUGAUAUGCCAUUUAGCCCCGCCCACAGGGACCGCCCCUUCCGCUGGCGCACACCAAAUUGUGUAAUAUUGUAUAAAAAAUUUAUUAACGUAUAAAAAGCAGAGCGAAUGAAAUCUUCCGGCAGAUGAUAUUGUAAUAACGGCAACACUUAAAAAAAUGACAGCCCCUAACGAAACCCUACUUACGCAUUCGCAGUUUUUGAACGAAGAAUGAAAUAAAGUCGAGUGGGAAGGGGGCUUUAGCCGAAAAAAAAACGACAGAAAAAUGCCGCCCCAUAAAAUUGGCUUUUGUUUGUAUUUCCGCAUGAAUUGCAUGAAUGGUAAUUUUGCAGUUUAAUGUUUGUGUGAUGGGCGGGGGCAUGGCCAGAAAUCAGAAAGAGAAGCGCAGCGCCUAAAAAAAGGAAAAACAACAGGCAAGCCCAAAAAUUUGCAUAAUAAACAAAUCAACUGAUGGACGAAGGAGCGGAAGGGGGAGGGUUUCGGUUUAGCUUAGAAUUAUGAGGAUGAAACUUUGGCACACACACACAGACGCAAAUUAAAUAAACGCAUAAAUAGAACAUUAACGCCAUAAAUCAUUUGCAUCGGUCGCUAAAUAUUUUGCGGCUCCUGCGGCUGUCUGUUUAUAAAAACACUCGUACAUAUAUAUAUGUGUAUAUAUAUCGGUGUGGACGGGAUUGCACAUUGAAAUCGAUUGAACUUGCGGAAACGGAAAUGGAAAUGAAAGCAAAUUUAUGGAAAUAAUACGACCGUGGCUCCAUCGAAUGAUUGCGCGUGUCCAGAAUUCAUUUGAAUGUGAAAGGUAGUCGCCGUCGACUGUCUGUCCAUUAUUUACCUUAAUUUUGAUUUACAAGCAUAAUUCAAUAUGAGGCGCGUUUUCGUUUUGAUGUUUUUAUUGUGUUUGCAUUUGCCCGCCCGAAAGUGCGUAAUUUAUGUGUCUAAAUGUGCAGAAAAUGUUUUUUAACCAACUGAUCAGGGUUCGGAUUUCCGUGUUCCAAUGUGGAAAGUGCCUCGAGCGUGAAAAGCUGCGGCUUUCACAUUUCUGGGAGCCGUGUUUUUGACGAGGGACAAAAACCUUAAGGUGAAGUUUCAGUUUUUGGGGUUCUUUGGGAUCCCUUUGCUUAAAAUACUAAUUGACAAAGGUGAAAGGACAUAUACAUCGCAGCGUUUUCCUGAUAAACUCGCUGGCCUGGCACUUUAUUUAAUGCGAAUCUAUUCCUUUUGUUUGGGCGGCCUCCCUUUGACAUUUUCGGCCCUUUCAAUUGGCUGCGAGAGGCAUUCUUUUCAGGUGCAAGUACAUACAGUAUUUUCAUUUCGGGCUCCUUUGUUCGUAAAUAUUUCAUUUCUUUAAACUGCUCUUAUUUCUCGUAUAAUAAAUUUAUGGCCACCUCACCUGCUCGUUUGCUCCUUUGUGGAAACGCACACAUACGCAGUAGGGCGUGGGCGUUGGGCGGUGGGUUGUGGGCGUGGUAGUCAUAUAUCAUACAAGGCAUCAUCAUAUAGUUCAUUGAACCUCCUGGCCAUAAAGCAACUCAAAAAUCUUCAACAGCUUUAAGUGUCUUACAAUGUCUACCGUUAAUCCUGGCCCCCACUUACGAACACACUUACAUCACACACAGACACACAGGCAGCGACACAAAAGCAGACAGUGUCGUUUAUAAUGUCUUCAUUUAUGGCACAAAAUGUGGGACAUUUUUUUGUGCUCAGUUACGCACCAACACCGAAAAAGACACGAAGAAAGCUCUAUGUCUUGGCGGGCAGAAGAAUUACAGUGAGUGCCAAAAGUCGCCUCACAACUUCUCUGCUCACCGAGCGGAAAAUAAUAUCGUGCUAUAAAUUUUGCUCAGUUUUUCCUGUGCUUGCCCCGCUCGAUUCCAAGCCCCAUUUUUCCGAGCUUAAUUUUUGCUGGUCGCUGGCUUGCUGGAUUUUCCCCUGGCGGUCGAGCCCUGCCGAUUCCACUGCUUCCACCGCCGACUGAUGAAAGUUUAACGACCAAAGUUGACACGCUGCGGCGAUUAUUUAGAAAGUUAAUGACUUAUAACAUACCCCCGAAAAAGUCACCGGAAAUGAACAGCAGCGGAGGAGGUAAUCAGAGAGAGAGGAAGGCCAGGAUGUCCAGAAGGAGCCAGAUUCACUGAUUUAGUGACCAGUCGGAGAGUUGGUUUUAGUUGAUUGGACUUUAUUGAAAAAUGAGUCGCCAUUUCUUAAGCUCUUGAACAGAAUCAGCGAAAAAAUACGAUAAAUUACAGGUUAACUAGGGCCGGCCAAUCCGGCCGUCGUGGCGCGAAUGUAAAUUUGGAGAAAAAAGGACGAGAAUCUGCAAUUUGAUUUCCUGUCAGUUGGGUGACCAGUGAUUGCGGGGAAAUUUUUCAGGUUCUUAGCGCAGUUAAAAUAUUAUGGCAAUAAAUCAACUAAUGAUUUUUCAAAUGCGCUAAAUGAUUAAACUUAUUGUAGGUAAAGGAACACUUUAAAUUAAAAAAAUUAAAUUUAUUAUCUGAAAUCUCCCAACCUAUUUCCAUUAAAAAGUGUUUUGGGGGCUAUCUUUGAUGCCAUUUCUUUUUGACAUCAAACUGAUAAGCCUAAAUUCUGAAAAAAGUUGCACCACCCAUUUCCACACAAAGUGCAAAUAUAUACUCGUACUAGAUACCUUUGCAGAAGCUUCACCAAACUUUAGCCUUAAUCGAAAUCGGCUCAGCAAAACAAUUUCCCACCAUCCAUAAGUUCUGUCGGAACUCAAGCCACCUUUACCCGAAUAGCAGCGUAAGUUCUGGGCGCUUAUUUAUAGUUAGUUUUCACUUCUUUUGGCGGCUGCAGCUCCCACCUUCCUACUCCUCAGCCCGGCUGUCUGGCAGCCGCAUAAAUUGUAUAAUGUAAUUUUCCAGCAACUGUCAGCCCCAGCCCGGUUCAGCCCACAAGUCCACAAAACUGUCAGGACGAUGAGGACUGUCUGCCUAUGCGAAAUAUAUUUGUAUAUAUAUAUCUGUUCUCAUAUAUAUGUAUAUCUCGUACGAAUGUAUGUACGUUUGGGAGUCUCCGGCGACUGGCAGCCACCAACUUAUGCAACAAUUUCGGAGCGGAAAUUGCUUUAGCACCUGCCUCCGCUGCCCCUCCCCCGAAAGGUGUACAUUUUGGGGAUAUGUGUUAUACCAAAUAUAUGUACCUACAUAUAUAUAUAUGGAUGGCAAGUCUGCCAUGUGGGUGUGUCUGGUCUGGAUUCGGCACGUUCGCCUUUUUGGCACAUACUUCAAUAGCAAGUUGAAUUCCAUUCCAUUCGAUUCGAUUCGUGGCUCUCGUCUCGUCGUCACUCGUUUAGCUUGGCAACUUUUUUGGCUCAAAACCCAUAGACACACGAACACUUUGACAGUUUGUCUGCCUGAAUGAAUUGAAGUUGGCCUGGGCGCCCGAUUAGGGAUUGGGAUUGGGUUUGGUGGUUCCCGGUAACCCCAAAAAACGUCGACGCUCUGGGUUUUACGGAUUUUGAAAUUUAUUUGCCACCGAAAUUGAGUCGAACCGAAAGAAGAAAGUUUUCCCCGAGCAAGAGUGUGUGUGGAUCUGACAAAGUUAUUCCUAUAACUUGUUCCCUUUGUUCGGGUUAAAGUGUAAUUUGAAUUUAAGAUUUGCUGUGGUUACCGAAAGGUGCCAAGAAUUUCCAUCCUCCCCGAAAAACCAACCUGUGGUUGAGCCCCACCAUCUAGCCUUCAAUAAUUAAUUUAACUGUAGCAUUUUUGUGGAUGGAGAAGUGCGACGGCCUCAUUCAUCAGAGAUUCAUAGUUUUAACUUUAAAUUAAGAUGCCGAUUUCCGGGGGGCUAUGCCAUAACAAAGGCCCAGAGGUCACUUGUUUAUAUUGGCCAGCAGUUGAGGAUGGGGAGCGUGUUAAUUUGCCAAGUUUUGCAGCAGCCGGACGAUGAUGGGCGAUGAUGACGGAGCUGGAUCUUGGGUAGCAUCUGUGCCCGAUGGCCCGUAAUUGGAAGCCUGCCCCUGAUUUCUUGAGCUUACAGUGAGCCACGAGGAUGCGACAGAGGACGAGGAUGAGCGGCAGCGGCAGCAGGAGCAUCAGCAGCAGAAUUCAGUUGGGAAAGGGGAUGGGGAUGAAAUGGGGAUGGGGGGAUGGGGCUGUUGAUGAUGCUUUCGACACUGUUGAUGAUGCCGCUGCUCCUGCUGCCAGUCAAGAUAGCAAUGACAACCUAACGAGCUGCUCCCUGUGCGUCUGUGUUUGCCAGAGUCUGCGCGUGAGUUUGUACGAGAAAUGUAGAUGCUCUACAAAAAAAGAAAUUUAAUGGAUGGCGAACAACGAUUGGCCCCAAAAAAAUACUUUAAAUGGGUUAAAUUGAAGUAAAACAUCACAAUAUUCAAUGUUAUUUUCCUUGAAGCAACAAUUACUUGCAUUCAAAAAGGAGAAAUUGAUAAGACAAUGAAACGACCUAUAUAUCAAAUUAAAGCUAAUAUCAUAUUGCAAACAUUUUAAAAUAAAUGUUAAAAUUGAACAAAUAAAGGUUAUUUACAGUUUGUUUGUAGUUAAACACAA